UACGUAGGUGACAAGCGUUGUCCGGAUUUAUUGGGCGUAAAGGGAGCGCAGGCGGUCUUGUAAGUCGGAUGUGAAAGCCCACGGCGCAACCGGGGAGGGUCAUUGGAAACUGGAAGACUUGAAUGCAGAAGAUGAAAGUGGAAUUCCAUGUGUAGCGGUGAAAUGCGGAGAUAUAUGGAGGAACACCAGUGGCGAAGGCGCCUUUCUGGUCUGUAAUUGACGCUGAGGCUCGAAAGCGUGGGGAGCGAACAGG
Molecule: unclassified non-coding RNA, 253 nt
Filed under: uncultured Carnobacteriaceae bacterium
Lineage: Bacteria; Bacillati; Bacillota; Bacilli; Lactobacillales; Carnobacteriaceae
Description: contains 16S-23S intergenic spacer region
Rfam family: Bacterial small subunit ribosomal RNA
Source: RNAcentral